Molecule: microRNA precursor, 145 nt
Filed under: Gossypium arboreum
Lineage: Eukaryota; Viridiplantae; Streptophyta; Magnoliopsida; Malvales; Malvaceae
Description: MIR7502 microRNA precursor family
Rfam family: MIR7502 microRNA precursor family
Source: Rfam by way of RNAcentral
UAUUAAAAAUUUUAUUCAUUUGUACCUUUAAAAUUUAGUCUAGUAAAUAGAAUAAUCAGAUAAUGAUAUGUGGUAUGUCACGUAUAUCUAAUACUGACGUAUAGAGACUAAUUUUUAAUAAUAGAAAUUGAUGAAAAUUUUGACA